CAGACCUCUAAUCGGAAAAGACUACCCGCUGAGUUUAAGCAUAUCACUAAGCGGAGGAGAAGAAACUAACCAGGAU
RNAcentral lists this non-coding RNA (76 nucleotides) under Scorpidium scorpioides. RNAcentral describes it as "partial 25S ribosomal RNA". It matches the Rfam family "Eukaryotic large subunit ribosomal RNA", at positions 1 to 75 of the family's 3401-position model. RNAcentral also lists the same sequence under 6 other names. The record is from RNAcentral. Lineage: Eukaryota; Viridiplantae; Streptophyta; Bryopsida; Hypnales; Amblystegiaceae.